Non-coding RNA from Acanthosepion pharaonis, 107 nucleotides. The record is from the annotation of a GenBank genome assembly. NCBI's taxonomy places the organism in Eukaryota, Metazoa, Mollusca, Cephalopoda, Sepiida, Sepiidae.
CCAUAUCAAAAGGAAACACUGGUUCUUGUAUGACCACUGAAGUUAAGCAACCGCGAGAUUUGUCAGCACUUAGAUGGGUAACCACUUGGGAAUACCAGGUGCUGUAA